AGCGAACGCUGGCGGCAGGCUUAACACAUGCAAGUCGAGCGGGCACUUUCGGGUGUCAGCGGCGUACGGGUGAGUAACGCGGGGGAACGUGCCCUCUGGUUCGGAAUAACUCAGGGAAACUUGAGCUAAUACCGGAUACGCCCUUUUGGGGAAAGGCUUGCUGCCGGAGGAUCGGCCCGCGUCUGAUUACCUAGUUGGUGAGGUAACGGCUCACCAAGGCGACGAUCAGUAGCUGGUCUGAGAGGAUGAUCAGCCACACUGGGACUGAGACACGGCCCAGACUCCUACGGGAGGCAGCAGUGGGGAAUAUUGGACAAUGGGCGCAAGCCUGAUCCAGCCAUGCCGCGUGAGUGAUGAAGGCCUUAGGGUUGUAAAGCUCUUUUAUCCGGGACGAUAAUGACGGUACCGGAGGAAUAAGCCACGGCUAACUUCGUG
This 435-nucleotide ribosomal RNA is filed under the name uncultured bacterium. RNAcentral's name for it is "partial 16S ribosomal RNA". It matches the Rfam family "Bacterial small subunit ribosomal RNA", at positions 29 to 507 of the family's 1533-position model. The record is from RNAcentral.